This 201-nucleotide long non-coding RNA is filed under the name Homo sapiens (human). RNAcentral's name for it is "non-protein coding lnc-RGS18-10:1". Lineage: Eukaryota; Metazoa; Chordata; Mammalia; Primates; Hominidae. The record is from RNAcentral.
CUGAGGUAGGAAGGAUCUCUUGAGACCAGGUGGUGGAGGUUACAGUGAGCCUAGAUCAUGCCCUCCAGGCUGGACAACAGAGUGAAACUGUCUGAAAGAAAAGAGAAGAGAAGAGAAGAGGAGAAAAGAAAAGAAAGAAAAAAUUUAGGUAUACACAAAAGCCUGCAGAGGGAUGUUUGAGGCAGCUUUAUUCAUAAUUAA